AAUGCAUUGUAUUUGGCCUUACACCCAACUAGGUAAAGAUACCUUUUCUCUACUGCUGCCACAAUUUCUUUGUUCAAUGACAAGACUCUUCACAUGGCUAAUUCAGAUUAUCAUCCCCCAUUAUGGCUAAAAACAAUGCACCAAAGCUUUCUGUACCAAAAAAGGAUUAAAAUGUCGCACCAUAAGAGGCCCCACACACGGGUAUUUCAAUCUAUUUGAUCUUAUUCUUCUGCAACUUCAACAUCAAUGUUGGAAACAUGAUUGCAUCUGCAAACAAGGAGGACCAAACUCCAGACCUUAGAUGCUACCAACAAUAUAUGUCUUUCUGAUUUUCUGUUGCAAAGAUACAAUCGAAUUCAAAAAAACGACAGUAAAGAUUUGUUUUGAUCAUGGAGAAAACAGGGUUAAGUAUGCCUAUGAAGAGGAUGGAAGUGGAUCCUCAUCACAUUAUGAUGAACAGAGUAAGGUCAUACAGGCCUUCAUUCACACAAAAACUGGAGACAAUUGCAGAGGAAGGCAACGAGGAUUUGGCGGCUGCCUUUGGUAAGGCUUGUAGAAUUCACAUGCAAAUUGAGGGUAAGAGUAAAGGAGGGUUUCCAUUUUCUCAGUGAACUUCUCAGCUAAUCCUGUGGGUUUGUAAUAUCUCAAGGUUUGGGUUUAGAGAAAUAAAAAUUGUGUGUUUAUAUGA
Molecule: long non-coding RNA, 688 nt
Organism: Cryptomeria japonica (Japanese cedar)
Lineage: Eukaryota; Viridiplantae; Streptophyta; Pinopsida; Cupressales; Cupressaceae
Exons: 2
Source: RefSeq, a predicted model, not a curated record